ACAGGUAAAAAGGCCACACAAAAGCGAAAAUCAAUAUUGGAAAGCGCUAAGUCACAAAUUCGGACUGGUCGACGAUGAACGACUUUUUGUUUUUCUGUGUCGUUCUUCUUCUUCUUCUUUGUGUG
This 125-nucleotide non-coding RNA is filed under the name Protocruzia adhaerens. The record is from RNAcentral. Lineage: Eukaryota; Ciliophora; Spirotrichea.